GACGAACGCUGGCGGCGUGCCUAAUACAUGCAAGUCGAACGCUGAAGCUUGGUGCUUGCACCGAGCGGAUGAGUUGCGAACGGGUGAGUAACGCGUAGGUAACCUGCCUGGUAGCGGGGGAUAACUAUUGGAAACGAUAGCUAAUACCGCAUAAGAGUAGAUGUUGCAUGACAUUUGCUUAAAAGGUGCAAUUGCAUCACUACCAGAUGGACCUGCGUUGUAUUAGCUAGUUGGUGAGGUAACGGCUCACCAAGGCAACGAUACAUAGCCGACCUGAGAGGGUGAUCGGCCACACUGGGACUGAGACACGGCCCAGACUCCUACGGGAGGCAGCAGUAGGGAAUCUUCGGCAAUGGACGGAAGUCUGACCGAGCAACGCCGCGUGAGUGAAGAAGGGUUUCGGAUCGUAAAGCUCUGUUGUAAGAGAAGAACGAGUGUGAGAGUGGAAAGUUCACACUGUGACGGUAUCUUACCAGAAAGGGACGGCUAACUACGUG
Molecule: ribosomal RNA, 497 nt
Filed under: uncultured bacterium
Lineage: Bacteria
Description: partial 16S ribosomal RNA
Rfam family: Bacterial small subunit ribosomal RNA
Source: RNAcentral